UAAUACGUAGGUGGCGAGCGUUGUUCGGAAUUAUUGGGCGUAAAGGGUCCGCAGGUGGUUUACUAAGUCUGACGUGAAAUCUCACGGCUCAACCGUGAAACGGCGUUGGAAACUGGUAGACUAGAGUGUUGUAGAGGUGAUUGGAAUUCUAGGUGUAGCGGUGGAAUGCGUAGAUAUCUAGAGGAACAUCGAGAGCGAAGGCAGAUCACUGGGCAACAACUGACACUCAGGGACGAAAGCAUGGGGAGCAAACAGG
This 256-nucleotide ribosomal RNA is filed under the name uncultured bacterium. Its description in RNAcentral is "partial 16S ribosomal RNA". It matches the Rfam family "Bacterial small subunit ribosomal RNA", at positions 521 to 776 of the family's 1533-position model. The record is from RNAcentral.